This 387-nucleotide ribosomal RNA is filed under the name uncultured bacterium. RNAcentral describes it as "bacterial SSU rRNA". It matches the Rfam family "Bacterial small subunit ribosomal RNA", at positions 29 to 419 of the family's 1533-position model. The record is from RNAcentral.
AUUGAACGCUGGCGGCAUGCCUUACACAUGCAAGUCGAACGGUAACGCGGGGCAACCUGGCGACGAGUGGCGGACGGGUGAGGAAUACGUCGGAAUCUGCCCAGUCGUGGGGGAUAACUAGCCGAAAGGUUAGCUAAUACCGCAUACGACCGAGAGGUGAAAGCGGGGGACCGCAAGGCCUCGCGCGAUUGGAUGAGCCGACGUCGGAUUAGCUAGUUGGCGGGGUAAAGGCCCACCAAGGCGACGAUCCGUAGCUGGUCUGAGAGGAUGAUCAGCCACACUGGAACUGAGACACGGUCCAGACUCCUACGGGAGGCAGCAGUGGGGAAUAUUGGACAAUGGGCGCAAGCCUGAUCCAGCAAUGCCGCGUGUGUGAAGAAGGCCUCG